CAGGAUGUGGCUCAACACAGAUAAAGCAUCUCCCUUACACUGAGAAGAUAUCCGUGCAAACCGGAUCGUCCUGA
Molecule: transfer RNA, 74 nt
Filed under: Pogonoperca punctata
Lineage: Eukaryota; Metazoa; Chordata; Actinopteri; Perciformes; Serranidae
Description: tRNA-Val
Rfam family: tRNA
About the family: Transfer RNA (tRNA) molecules are approximately 80 nucleotides in length. Their secondary structure includes four short double-helical elements and three loops (D, anti-codon, and T loops).
Source: RNAcentral